AAAGGAGGGGAUCGCAAGACCUUUCGCUUUCGGAGUGGCCGAUAUCAGAUUAKCUAGUUGGUGAGGUAAAGGCUCACCAAGGCGACGAUCUGUAGCGGGUCUGAGAGGAUGAUCCGCCACACUGGAACUGAGACACGGUCCAGACUCCUACGGGAGGCAGCAGUGGGGAAUUUUGGACAAUGGGCGCAAGCCUGAUCCAGCCAUGCCGYGUGAGUGAAGAAGGCCUUCGGGUUGUAAAGCUCUUUCAGCCGGAAAGAAAUCGCACUUGCUAAUACUAAGUGUGGAUGACGGUACCCGGAAGAAGAAGCACCGGCUAACUACGUUGCCAGCAAGCCGCGGUAAUACGUAGGGUGCGAGCGUUAAUCGGAAUUACUGGGCCGUAAAGCGUGCGCAGGCGGUUUUGUAAGACAGACGUGAAAUUCCCCGGGCU
This 430-nucleotide ribosomal RNA is filed under the name uncultured bacterium. RNAcentral describes it as "bacterial SSU rRNA". It matches the Rfam family "Bacterial small subunit ribosomal RNA", at positions 189 to 610 of the family's 1533-position model. The record is from RNAcentral.